Molecule: ribosomal RNA, 497 nt
Filed under: uncultured bacterium
Lineage: Bacteria
Description: partial 16S ribosomal RNA
Rfam family: Bacterial small subunit ribosomal RNA
Source: RNAcentral
GAUGAACGCUGGCGGCGUGCCUAAUACAUGCAAGUCGAGCGAACAGAUAAGGAGCUUGCUCCUUUGACGUUAGCGGCGGACGGAUGAGUAACACGUGGGUAACCUACCUAUAAGACUGGGAUAACUUCGGGAAACCGGAGCUAAUACCGGAUAACAUUUGGAACCGCAUGGUUCUAAAGUGAAAGAUGGUUUUGCUAUCACUUAUAGAUGGACCCGCGCCGUAUUAGCUAGUUGGUAAGGUAACGGCUUACCAAGGCAACGAUACGUAGCCGACCUGAGAGGGUGAUCGGCCACACUGGAACUGAGACACGGUCCAGACUCCUACGGGAGGCAGCAGUAGGGAAUCUUCCGCAAUGGGCGAAAGCCUGACGGAGCAACGCCGCGUGAGUGAUGAAGGGUUUCGGCUCGUAAAACUCUGUUAUUAGGGAAGAACAAACGUGUAAGUAACUGUGCACGUCUUGACGGUACCUAAUCAGAAAGCCACGGCUAACUACGUG